ACCCUACUAUGCCUCGCCUUAACCAAGCAAUCAAAUUACUAUUUGCUCGCCAAAUAACUACGAGUAAAAACUUAAAAUUUAAAAGACUUGACGGUACUUCACACCAACCUAGAGGAGCCUGUCUAAUAACCGAUAAUCCACGAUUAACCCCACCCCUUAUGGCCCAACAGUCUAUAUACCGCCGUCGCCAGCUUACCUUGUGAAAGAAAAAAAGUAAGCUCAACAACAUCACGCUAACACGACAGGUCGAGGUGUAACUAAUGAAGGGGUAAAGAUGGGCUACAUUUCUUCAAAGAAGACAAACGGAUAAACUAUGAAACUAGAAACUGAAGGCGGAUUUAGCAGUAAGAUAAGAACACAAUACUUAACCGAAAUUAACGCAAUGAAGUGCGCACACACCGCCCGUCAUCCCUG
RNAcentral lists this ribosomal RNA (414 nucleotides) under Dromicodryas bernieri. RNAcentral describes it as "partial 12S ribosomal RNA". Lineage: Eukaryota; Metazoa; Chordata; Lepidosauria; Squamata. The record is from RNAcentral.